GGUCAAUUAGCUUUUUAGUACUCACUGUUUUGAUAGGGAUUGAAUUUUCAAGAUUGGUGUAUAUCAUACGUGGUGUGUUCAAGGACUAUACAAACAGCAGUGACAGGCAAAGCCAGCAACUCAGCAAGGGACAGUAUGUGAAACUUGCUGAAGACUACUCCUUCGUCAUUUUUUCCUGGUUUGUUUAAAACGGGAAGCUGAACAGGUUUGUUUAAAACGGGAAGCUGAACAGAAAAACAACUUCAAAGCUCUCCGAGGUGUCUCCUGCCUCAAACCAAGAUAUUGAAGUGCUCGGACUAUAUUGGAAGGGAUAGAGAUUCAACAUUGUUCAUCCAGAUCAGCCUUUGUCCAUUGGUUUCUAUGAUAGAUGAGGAUUUUCUGACCACUUGAGAACACAGGACUAAGCGAACAGGAGGAGCUUAAGUGCAGUUGUGCUCUGAAUCCAGUGUCCUGAAGGCACUGGAUUCAGGCACUGGAAAAUGGGCACGUUCUCUUCAAUCUGUUUCCUUCCACAUGAGCUUCACAUACAUCUUUUAUCACGGCAAUCCUUUCAACAGUCUUCCCUUGAAGAUGGACCAAAUAUGAGCUGGGAUUGGAAAGGCUGGGUUUGGAAAAGAUUUGCAGUGUCCCUCCCUAAUACAUCCUUUCUGCCUCCUGCACUAUGAAAACAAGACCUUAGAACCCAGGCAGUUUUCUUGGGUCUUCCAGAAUUUAAAUCAACUGGAGGGCUUAAGAGAGGUGGGAGAGAAUAGCGGCAUGGAGUGAAGAAAUAUGAAGAAAGGAAAGAUUCUUAUGUGUUCCUGAGGCAUGAUGCCAGCUAUUAUAGCCACAGAUUUCUGAACAGCUUAUUUUUUCAUUCAGUAUUGAAUUGCAGAGUAAAUACAAUGUAAUUCUCCUUCGGUUCAUGGAUCAAUUUGUAAUGGAAGGUACAUAUGCGUGAACAAGAUAGACAAUGGUACAGAAAAAUGGUGUUUAGUACCAAUACCACUGGAAGUGAGAACUGGGCCUUACCUUUGUACUUUGGAUUGGAUACUUUUGUCAUGAGCAAAUCUUUACUCAGUUCUAUCCUCCCUUUCUCAACAGCCAGCCAAAAGGUAAUA
Molecule: long non-coding RNA, 1100 nt
Filed under: Struthio camelus australis
Lineage: Eukaryota; Metazoa; Chordata; Aves; Struthioniformes; Struthionidae
Description: lncRNA (ENSSCUG00000005376.1)
Source: RNAcentral